RNAcentral lists this ribosomal RNA (416 nucleotides) under uncultured bacterium. RNAcentral's name for it is "bacterial SSU rRNA". It matches the Rfam family "Bacterial small subunit ribosomal RNA", at positions 29 to 444 of the family's 1533-position model. The record is from RNAcentral.
AUUGAACGCUGGCGGCGUGCCUAACACAUGCAAGUCGAGCGGUAACAGGUGUAGCAAUACAUGCUGACGAGCGGCGGACGGGUGAGUAACGCUUGGGAAUCUGCCUAUUAGUGGGGGACAACCCGGGGAAACUCGGGCUAAUACCGCAUACGCUCUACGGAGGAAAGCCGGGGACCGCAAGGCCUGGUGCUAAUAGAUGAGCCCAAGUCGGAUUAGCUAGUUGGUAGGGUAAUGGCCUACCAAGGCGACGAUCCGUAACUGGUCUGAGAGGACGACCAGUCACACCGGAACUGAGACACGGUCCGGGACUCCUACGGGAGGCAGCAGUGGGGAAUAUUGGACAAUGGCGAAAGCCUGAUCCAGCGACGCCGCGUGGGUGAAGAAGGCCUGCGGGUUGUAAAGCCCUUUCAGUGGGG